GUUCUUAUAGUUGAAUGUUACAACAGUGGUUUUUCAAGUCAUUGGUUUAAGUUAGAGUCUUAAUAAGAAUG
Molecule: transfer RNA, 71 nt
Filed under: Geotria australis
Lineage: Eukaryota; Metazoa; Chordata; Hyperoartia; Petromyzontiformes; Geotriidae
Description: tRNA-Glu
Rfam family: tRNA
About the family: Transfer RNA (tRNA) molecules are approximately 80 nucleotides in length. Their secondary structure includes four short double-helical elements and three loops (D, anti-codon, and T loops). Further hydrogen bonds mediate the characteristic L-shaped molecular structure. tRNAs have two regions of fundamental functional importance: the anti-codon, which is responsible for specific mRNA codon recognition, and the 3' end, to which the tRNAs corresponding amino acid is attached (by aminoacyl-tRNA synthetases). tRNAs cope with the degeneracy of the genetic code in two manners: having more than one tRNA (with a specific anti-codon) for a particular amino acid; and 'wobble' base-pairing, i.e. permitting non-standard base-pairing at the 3rd anti-codon position.
Source: RNAcentral